Molecule: transfer RNA, 72 nt
Filed under: Enterobacteriaceae endosymbiont of Macroplea mutica
Lineage: Bacteria; Pseudomonadati; Pseudomonadota; Gammaproteobacteria; Enterobacterales; Enterobacteriaceae
Description: tRNA-Glu
Rfam family: tRNA
About the family: Transfer RNA (tRNA) molecules are approximately 80 nucleotides in length. Their secondary structure includes four short double-helical elements and three loops (D, anti-codon, and T loops).
Source: RNAcentral
GUCCCUUUCGUCUAAUGGUUAGGACAUCGCUCUUUCACGGCGGCAAUAGGGGUUCAAAUCCCCUAGGGGGCA